UACAGAGGGUGCAAACGUUGCUCGGAAUCACUGGGCGUAAAGGGUGCGUAGGCGGGUUUUUAAGUCAGGGGUGAAAUCCUGGAGCUCAACUCCAGAACUGCCUUUGAUACUGAAGAUCUUGAGUCCGGGAGAGGUGAGUGGAACUGCGAGUGUAGAGGUGAAAUUCGUAGAUAUUCGCAAGAACACCAGUGGCGAAGGCGGCUCACUGGCCCGGUACUGACGCUGAGGCACGAAAGCGUGGGGAGCAAACAGG
This 253-nucleotide ribosomal RNA is filed under the name uncultured bacterium. RNAcentral describes it as "partial 16S ribosomal RNA". It matches the Rfam family "Bacterial small subunit ribosomal RNA", at positions 524 to 776 of the family's 1533-position model. The record is from RNAcentral.